This is a long non-coding RNA of Ipomoea triloba (trilobed morning glory), 1661 nucleotides long. RefSeq lists it as uncharacterized. The transcript is spliced from 3 exons. The record is from RefSeq and is a predicted model, not a curated record. NCBI's taxonomy places the organism in Eukaryota, Viridiplantae, Streptophyta, Magnoliopsida, Solanales, Convolvulaceae.
GUCCUCCUUCAGUUGUGUCGUUUGUUUUCCGUGAAGUGGAUGGGCAUUUUGGUCUUUUUACGUGGUCUUCUUCUAAUCCAUCUCCUACGCCGUCUCCGGCCUGUCGGCCCUGCUUUCUUUCUUCUGCUACACUGAGUUCACCGUUGAUAUACCAGUUGCAGAUUCUGAAAUUAUUCCUUUGCAUGGUGAGAAGAGGGUGGUCCUGCGGUAAGGACGAUUUUCUCCAUGAGGUCUGUGUUCACGCAUCCAGGCUUGAUGAUGUCAGCCCAUCGCCUUCCCUCAGCCUAGUCGAUGAGUAUCAACUCGAUGACGAAGAAAAUACCCGCAGACCCCAACAUCGCCCAUCUGCAGUGCACAAUCUCCGCCUGCUGGUUCCAUUUCAAGCUCUCGGGAUCAGAUGUUGUCAAUAUAAUGAUCGAUCGAGGAUGGAGAACGUCAGAUCUAUCUCUAUUUUGGAGCCCGGAUUAAUUCAGAAACUACUCGGCUAGAUUUGACUUACCAAGACCGAGGGGAUCAAAACCAAAGUCUCCAGGGAGGCUGCCAUCGAGCCAUGGAGGAGGGGUGCUGCUCGGGAACCAGAGGGGUCGGUUGGGAUCAGUCGUAGCACAAACAGUAAAAGAUCGGGACGUGGCAGGGGUUGAGUACUUGCUCACCCUCAGUUUUCUCCCCGAGAGGAAAGACACCUUUGUCUGGGAACUGCACAGGGACGAAAAUGCAGCGGCCGCAAUGGUGGACGAAGCAGCGCAGGCAGAAGCCAUGUCGACAGAUUUCUGUACAAUGCAAUUGCAGGGUGUGAUUGUUGUGUUGUGUGUGGAAAGAAAUGAGAAAGGCUUAAACACUGAGAAGAUGAUAUUGAAUAGAAGGGGCUUAUCCUCAUGGAUAGGGAGGUGAAUAUGUGAUUGGGUUUCUGAAUUGCCAUGUGGCAUGCAGAAUCAGGGAUGGGGUCUGUGUUCACACAUCCAGGCUUGAUGAUGUCAGCCCACCGCCUUCCCUCAGCCCAGCCGAUGAGUAUCAACUCGAUGACGAAUAGCGUUGUUGUAUCAGUGAAGUACUCUUGCUGAGACAACUACGUGAAUGCGCUGAGACAUACUCCGGCGUGGCUGAGGGAUCGGGUUUUCAGCUGGUCCUUGUACCAGGUGGAGCUCUCCGCCAAGUCGCAGCCACUCAGCCAGCACGAGAUGGAGAAGAAUCUUAACUGGUGGGAUCGUAUUUGGUUUGGCAUGGGCGCCGUUAUCGGCGCCGGAAUUUUCAUCCUCACCGGCCAGGAGGCUAACCAACACGCCGGCCUUGCUGUCGUCCUCUCCUACGUUGUCUCUGGCCUCUCGGCCGUGCUUCUGUCUUCUGCUACACUGAGUUUUCCGUGGAGAUACCAGUCUCCGGAAUAUUCUAAGUAAAAGGCCAUUGACUACAAGGGAUUAGAAGAAGACCACGUAAAAAGACCAAAAUGCCCAUCCACUUCACGGUCAACAAACGACACAACUGACGGAGGACCAAAAGUGUCCGACGUCCAAAAAGCGUGGCUAGAAUCUGACCAUUUUUAUUAUGGAGGACUAAAUCUGUCAAAUGCCUAAUAAGUCUAGGACCAAAAGUGGAAUUAACUCUGAUAAUUAAAUAAAAUGUAAAUUCCAAUUUUAAUCAUUGACCAUUGCAACAUUGUUAUA